This 253-nucleotide ribosomal RNA is filed under the name uncultured bacterium. Its description in RNAcentral is "partial 16S ribosomal RNA". It matches the Rfam family "Bacterial small subunit ribosomal RNA", at positions 524 to 776 of the family's 1533-position model. The record is from RNAcentral.
UACGAAGGGUGCAAACGUUGCUCGGAAUCAUUGGGCGUAAAGCGCACGUAGGCGGCCCCGCAAGUCGGACGUGAAAUCCCUCAGCUCAACUGAGGACGUGCAUCCGAAACUGCAGGGCUUGAGUACUGAAGAGGAUCGCGGAAUUCCCGGUGUAGAGGUGAAAUUCGUAGAUAUCGGGAGGAACACCAGUGGCGAAGGCGGCGAUCUGGGCAGAUACUGACGCUGAGGUGCGAAAGCUAGGGGAGCAAACGGG